RNAcentral lists this ribosomal RNA (842 nucleotides) under Lacticaseibacillus rhamnosus. RNAcentral's name for it is "bacterial SSU rRNA". It matches the Rfam family "Bacterial small subunit ribosomal RNA", at positions 54 to 859 of the family's 1533-position model. Lineage: Bacteria; Bacillati; Bacillota; Bacilli; Lactobacillales; Lactobacillaceae. The record is from RNAcentral.
CAUGCAAGUCGAACGAGUUCUGAUUAUUGAAAGGUGCUUGCAUCUUGAUUUAAUUUUGAACGAGUGGCGGACGGGUGAGUAACACGUGGGUAACCUGCCCUUAAGUGGGGGAUAACAUUUGGAAACAGAUGCUAAUACCGCAUAAAUCCAAGAACCGCAUGGUUCUUGGCUGAAAGAUGGCGUAAGCUAUCGCUUUUGGAUGGACCCGCGGCGUAUUAGCUAGUUGGUGAGGUAACGGCUCACCAAGGCAAUGAUACGUAGCCGAACUGAGAGGUUGAUCGGCCACAUUGGGACUGAGACACGGCCCAAACUCCUACGGGAGGCAGCAGUAGGGAAUCUUCCACAAUGGACGCAAGUCUGAUGGAGCAACGCCGCGUGAGUGAAGAAGGCUUUCGGGUCGUAAAACUCUGUUGUUGGAGAAAAAUGGUCGGCAAAGUAACUGUUGUCGGCGUGACGGUAUCCAACCAGAAAGCCACGGCUAACUACGUGCCAGCAGCCGCGGUAAUACGUAGGUGGCAAGCGUUAUCCGGAUUUAUUGGGCGUAAAGCGAGCGCAGGCGGUUUUUUAAGUCUGAUGUGAAAGCCCUCGGCUUAACCGAGGAAGUGCAUCGGAAACUGGGAAACUUGAGUGCAGAAGAGGACAGUGGAACUCCAUGUGUAGCGGUGAAAUGCGUAGAUAUAUGGAAGAACACCAGUGGCGAAGGCGGCUGUCUGGUCUGUAACUGACGCUGAGGCUCGAAAGCAUGGGUAGCGAACAGGAUUAGAUACCCUGGUAGUCCAUGCCGUAAACGAUGAAUGCUAGGUGUUGGAGGGUUUCCGCCCUUCAGUGCCGCAGCUAACGCA